This 684-nucleotide long non-coding RNA is filed under the name Homo sapiens (human). Its description in RNAcentral is "non-protein coding lnc-C3orf58-3:1". Lineage: Eukaryota; Metazoa; Chordata; Mammalia; Primates; Hominidae. The record is from RNAcentral.
GGGUGUGGGCAUCCAGAACAACUCCUCAGGCAGACUCAGCAAGAACUCAGAGGGCACCUGAGUUGCUCUAGGUGGUAACCAGCCUUAAAUAGGAGAAACAAAAAAGGAAAACUUACUAUCCCAUGACAGAUAGACAACCGGGCAGCAAGAGGGUUGAAUUUUGGGACUGCACUAGCUUUUCAAAGCCGUAAGGAGAUUUGGGAUUUCUUGAAGGCUAUUGCACGUGUUUUUGAGAGAAGUUAUUGUGAACUUGCACAAGUAGUCAUUGAUAGUGCAAAUGUAACAUUAUACAUGGUGCACUUACAGAGUGCUAUGAUGAACUGGGGAAUAGAUAUCAGCUUCCAAUCUAUUGCUUGGCAGCAGCAAUCACCAUGACAGAGAAAAAGAACAUAGAGACUCUGAAUGUUCCUCAGCCACCACCCAAUUCUAGUUAUGAAUGUCAGCUCCGUUUGUGUCUUGCCACAGGCAAAGCCCUCAAACUUUUGGUGUGCAGCACAGACACAGUAUGCCACAUGCAGAGGCGGUGACUCGCAGCAGAAGGAGUGGAACUAUGUAGUCAGCGGUGGUUCUUUUCUGGCAGACCUCUCACUAACAAAAUGAAAUUGGAAGAGCCAAAGAUCCCAAAGGACUGUGCUGUACAGGUUAGAGUGAGGCAACCUUUUCAAAACCCAACACCAGUUGAGA